This 18-nucleotide small nuclear RNA is filed under the name Arabidopsis thaliana (thale cress). RNAcentral describes it as "snRNA_09041". The record is from RNAcentral. Lineage: Eukaryota; Viridiplantae; Streptophyta; Magnoliopsida; Brassicales; Brassicaceae.
AUCGCCGAAAUGGCUCCG